Molecule: ribosomal RNA, 467 nt
Filed under: Epicoccum nigrum
Lineage: Eukaryota; Fungi; Ascomycota; Dothideomycetes; Pleosporales; Didymellaceae
Description: eukaryotic LSU rRNA
Rfam family: 5.8S ribosomal RNA (bases 115-268)
Source: RNAcentral
CUCUUACCCAUGUCUUUUGAGUACCUUCGUUUCCUCGGCGGGUCCGCCCGCCGGUUGGACAACAUUCAAACCCUUUGCAGUUGCAAUCAGCGUCUGAAAAAACAUAAUAGUUACAACUUUCAACAACGGAUCUCUUGGUUCUGGCAUCGAUGAAGAACGCAGCGAAAUGCGAUAAGUAGUGUGAAUUGCAGAAUUCAGUGAAUCAUCGAAUCUUUGAACGCACAUUGCGCCCCUUGGUAUUCCAUGGGGCAUGCCUGUUCGAGCGUCAUUUGUACCUUCAAGCUCUGCUUGGUGUUGGGUGUUUUGUCUCGCCUCUGCGUGUAGACUCGCCUUAAAACAAUUGGCAGCCGGCGUAUUGAUUUCGGAGCGCAGUACAUCUCGCGCUUUGCACUCAUAACGACGACGUCCAAAAGUACAUUUUUACACUCUUGACCUCGGAUCAGGUAGGGAUACCCGCUGAACUAAAA